Oreochromis aureus is the source of this 1205-nucleotide long non-coding RNA. RefSeq lists it as uncharacterized. The record is from RefSeq and is a predicted model, not a curated record. Lineage: Eukaryota; Metazoa; Chordata; Actinopteri; Cichliformes; Cichlidae. The transcript is spliced from 2 exons.
AAUACUUUUAUAUUAGGAUUUUUUCUUACAGUGUAAUUCAAAAUCUUGAUUCUUACUUUUGUGACCUUACAAGAUGAGGCCCCUAGUUAUAUCUUCAAUCUUUUCAAUCUUGUCUGCAGAUAAAGGUCUUCUUGUGAUUCACAUGCCCGUGUGAAAACUAAGAAGGAUUUUGCUUUCCAGACUUUAGUGCCAAAACUGUGGAACAGCUUAUCGUGUUUGCUGCACACCGUUGACUUUGUGGCAUCCUUUAAAAAACUGCUUAAAUGCAUCUAUUCAGACCAUUUACCAUUUUGGUAAAAUGUUUGUGUUGUGUGUUGUGUUUCUUGAUUCAGGUGUCUUCGUUUGACUGUAUUUUAAAUAUCUGUGUAAAGCACUUGUCUUAAAAAGGAGUAUACAAAUAAACUUUACUUAUGUACAUAACUAAACACAGAUUCAGUUUUUCAUGGUCUGCAACUCAGUUAACGCUGAUUAACUUUUUUUCAGUCUGGCAAAACGGAGGACGCAGAGAAGUUUUAUAAAUAUGCAAUACGGUUCAACCUACAGAUGGAGUCACUCCACAAAGAGUUUAACGAGUUGAAGAAUCAGCUCCGCUUCCAUCAUCUGGAGUCGUGCUUUGAAAGAAGCACCAAAGGAAAAGAAUAAAUCAUAUGUCCAAGUAUGUACACAUAAUAUCUCAAUGACCAGUAUUUGAAACAACAUUUUAUUGGGUUUUCAGCAUGUGUACUGUAUGAAAAUUAAAUACAGAGAGUUCAGAUGUACAUGAUGACUUUUAUCUUCACCGUCUGUGAAAUCUGUAACCGGUUGAGCCAUAAAAGUUAAACUCUGAUCAAUAUCAACAUAACAAACACAGUUAAAGCAACACCAUAAUCUCAAAUGUAUAUAAAACAAUUGCAAUAUAGUGUUUUUUUUUGUUUAAAUACAAAAACAAAGAAAAGAAAGGAGGCUAUAUGGUGACUGGUACCAGCAGGAUAUAAAACAUUUACUACUUCACAUUUGAUGUCAUUCUUUUGUUAUCAUUUAUGCAGGAAAACAAGCCCUCGUGACACUUUGUGGUGUUUUUGUUCUGAAACACGUUUCUAAAUUUUGGCACAAUCCUCUCUGCGUUGAAAGGAAAUGUUGUGAAAUAUUGUUUUGAGCUUGUCAAAUAGUUCACGAAGGAUGUGUUAGAAUGGGCCCUGAAUAAAUUUCCUUUAAAAUCAAAUGGA